This 72-nucleotide transfer RNA is filed under the name Botryobasidium botryosum FD-172 SS1. RNAcentral describes it as "tRNA-Arg (CCG) (tRNA-Arg-CCG-1-1)". It matches the Rfam family "tRNA". From Rfam's summary of the family: Transfer RNA (tRNA) molecules are approximately 80 nucleotides in length. Lineage: Eukaryota; Fungi; Basidiomycota; Agaricomycetes; Cantharellales; Botryobasidiaceae. The record is from RNAcentral.
GGCCGGGUGGCGUAAUGGCAACGCGUCUGUUUCCGGAGCAGGAGAUUGUGGGUUCGAGUCCCAUCCUGGUCG